RNAcentral lists this long non-coding RNA (1650 nucleotides) under Homo sapiens (human). RNAcentral describes it as "HSALNT0246971". Lineage: Eukaryota; Metazoa; Chordata; Mammalia; Primates; Hominidae. The record is from RNAcentral.
UUGUAAGACUUUAAUUUCCUGCCCAGGAAAUCUACAUUUUACAUAAGAUAAGGUGAAUGUUUGAAGAGAAAAGGGGAGCAGAGGAAGAGUCACUUACAAAGACAUCUUUGGUGGAAUAACUUCAGGUAUCAGCUUGUCAGAUGAAUCUGAGGAAAACUCAAGGAAUAAAGACAAAAGGACAUCGGAGUGGUACCUACGACAAAUGGUCAUAGAGGAACGCCUCUCCCAAAGAGCUCCGGAAGAAAAGAGCCCAGUGGUAAACAACCCAUAUACUCUGCAAAAAUAAGUAAACAAAACGUUUGAUAAUGCAUUGAAAUCAUCUUUUUAAAUGAUUUCCUGAGAGAGCAAGAAGUCAAAGAAUGCACAGAAGCUGAAAACAAGAGAAAAAGAAGACACUUGGAAGAUAAUAAAGGCCUAAAGCCAACUUUUCCCUAGGAAGCAUCUGCUCAAUCAUGAUAAUCUCCAGUUUCUGUUUUCAUGGAAGUGCAGAACAUAGGAAAUAGGUAAUAAAAUCAAGGACUACCCAAAAUGAAAGAUUUCACAGAUCUCUUCAUAAAAUUGAUGAAAAUCCUGGAGGGUGAAAUCAACCAAACAGAAGGAUCAGCAAGUAAGCUAAAUUCUCUAAGGUUCCCUGACUAGUAAACACAAUUUGGCUUUUAUAAUCUAUAUUUUCAACCUGCAUUCCUUCUACAUAUAUGGUCAACAAAGAUUUUUAAGUGAUAUCAAAUUGGAAAUACAAUCAGGUGACUGAUAGAAGCCAACAGAAUUCCUCUCCAGAGAACGCAGUCAUAUCCAGGCCUCAAAGAAUUAUCACAGCUGAAGUUCCAAGAAACAUGAGUUCAUGAUAGAAAAUCAUGAAAUAUGUGAGCAUAUAGGGUGAAAUUAAUGAGAGUCAGCCAAAACAAGAUACCAGCAAUAACUAUAAAUAUUGAAAUUAAAUUAAUUAGGAGAAUAUAAAAUUAGCACUUUCUAUGUUUCAAUCAAUAAGAUAUUUACUGAAAUUAUGAGCAAGGGACAACAGACUAUAUAAAUUAAAUAAUAAAAUUGGAAAUAAGUGAAAUUUUUUUUAGAAAUGAAAAAUAAAAUAAUUGAAAUGUAAACAGAUUAACAGAUUACAGGUUAACAGAUUAACAGGUUAACACAUUAAAGAGAAAACUAGGUACAGCUGAAGAAAAAUUUAAUGAACUAGAAGAUAGAUGCAAAUAUAGUAUGCUGAAAUUAACCCUAAAUGCAAAUAUAUUGAAAAUAUGAAAGCAGUUAGAAGGAGUGAAAAGAUCUAACCAUACGUUUGAUCAGAGAAACAAAAAGAUAUGGUACAAAAUAAUUAAACUAAGGCAAUAAUCAAAGGGAUAGAAACAAAUAAUUUUUGAACUAUAGAAAGACAGAAAAACCUCAGAUCACAGAAACCUACUGAUUGUCUUACAGAAAAAAUGUGUAUAUUAUCUAUAUCUGUACAAUUAGUCACCAGAUAUUUUUGGUGAAUUUUAGAGCACUAAAGCCAAGUGUGAUAUUUAAAGAAGUCUGUGAUAAGAAGAAUUAUUUUAAACUGAUAGCUACAAUAGAAAGCAGAAAAAGUAAAAGACUUUUUAAUCUUCCUUAAAAAAUGUUAAUCUAAAAUACUAUACUAACAAAGCUGUCUUUCAAGAAUAG